This 396-nucleotide ribosomal RNA is filed under the name uncultured bacterium. RNAcentral describes it as "bacterial SSU rRNA". It matches the Rfam family "Bacterial small subunit ribosomal RNA", at positions 8 to 433 of the family's 1533-position model. The record is from RNAcentral.
AGAGUUUGAUCAUGGCUCAGAACGAACGCUGGCGGCAGGCUUAACACAUGCAAGUCGAGCGCGGUCUUCGGACCGAGCGGCGAACGGGUGAGUAACGCGUGGGAACGUGCCUUUCGGUGGGGAACAACCUGGGGAAACUCAGGCUAAUUCCGCAUACGCCCUCAGGGGGAAAGAUUUAUCGCCGAAAGAUCGGCCCGCGUUGGAUUAGGUUGUUGGUGGGGUAAAAGCCCACCAAGCCGACGAUCCAUAGCUGGUUUGAGAGGAUGAUCAGCCACACUGGGACUGAGACACGGCCCAGACUCCUACGGGAGGCAGCAGUGAGGAAUCUUGGACAAUGGGGGAAACCCUGAUCCAGCCAUGCCGCGUGAUUGAGAAGGCUUUAGGGUUGUAAAGNUC